ACUCCUACGGGAGGCAGCAGUGAGGAAUAUUGGUCAAUGGACGCAAGUCUGAACCAGCCAUGUCGCGUGCAGGAAGACUGCCCUAUGGGUUGUAAACUGCUUUUAUACGGGAAGAAAUAUAGCUACGUGUAGUUAUUUGCCGGUACCGUAUGAAUAAGCAUCGGCUAACUCCGUGCCAGCAGCCGCGGUAAUACGGAGGAUGCGAGCGUUAUCCGGAUUCAUUGGGUUUAAAGGGUGCGUAGGCGGAAGUAUAAGUCAGGGGUGAAAGUUGUGGCUCAACCAUAAAAUUGCCUUUGAUACUGUAUUUCUUGAGUACAUUUGAGGUAGGCGGAAUGUGUUGUGUAGCGGUGAAAUGCUUAGAUAUAACACAGAACACCGAUUGCGAAGGCAGCUUACUAAACUGUAACUGACGCUGAUGCACGAAAGCGUGGGAUCGAACAGGAUUAGAUACCCCUGGUAGCAGAGAG
RNAcentral lists this ribosomal RNA (467 nucleotides) under uncultured bacterium. RNAcentral describes it as "bacterial SSU rRNA". It matches the Rfam family "Bacterial small subunit ribosomal RNA", at positions 335 to 799 of the family's 1533-position model. The record is from RNAcentral.